This is a long non-coding RNA of Lotus japonicus, 1255 nucleotides long. RefSeq lists it as uncharacterized. The transcript has 3 exons. NCBI's taxonomy places the organism in Eukaryota, Viridiplantae, Streptophyta, Magnoliopsida, Fabales, Fabaceae. The record is from RefSeq and is a predicted model, not a curated record.
UAAGAGUAAUGACAAAAUCAAAAUCAAAAUCAAAGAGAUAUUAAAGAAAUCGAGAAAGGGAGUUAUUUUUGUUUUGCUUCAUCAUCGUCGCUGUGAUCAUCGACGGGACAUCAGCCAUGUCUGACCAGAGCGAUUCAUCGUGCCUGAAAUUAAUGGUGGAUCUGGCCACCGGAGAUGAUGAUGAUAACUCAAAGGUGUUGAUGCACCCUCUAACCAUGAAAACCCUCAAAGUUUGUGAUGGCGAUAUUAUACUGAUCAAGGGGAAGAAAUUGAGGGACACGAUUUGCAGAGCCCAUGUUGAUGAGUCAUGCAAGGAGUCCAAGAUCAGGAUGAACAGAGUUGUGAGGUGCAAUUUGAGGGUUUAUCUUGGAGAUUCUGUGACCGUGCACCCGUGCACCUAUUCAUGACUCCGUUUAUGAUGACUCCUUUUAUGCUGUCUCUGGCAAUCUCGUUAAAGGCUUCUUGAAACCAUACUUCUCAGAGGUUCAGGUUCAGGCAUAUCGACCCGUCACAAAAGGAGAUGUAUUUCUUGUCCCAGCCAUGAGAAGUGUAGAGUUCAAGGUCAUUCAAAUUGAAACCGAGAUUGAUAUUGAUAAUCACUAUUGUGUUGUUGCUCCUGACACUGGAAUUUUCUGUGAGGGGGAGCCUGUGAAGGAGGAAGUAUGGAUCCAACAACCUGGGUACGAUUGUUUCGGGGGAAAUUGAUAGGGAAAUUGGUAUUGGUGCUCUUGAUGAAGCUGGACGACUUGAACUCCUUCGCAUAUAUACCAACCACUUGAAGCUUUCUUCUGAUGUUGAUUUAAAGGGAAUUGCAGAACUUACCAAUGGUUAUUCUGGUGCUGACCUUGUUCAUAUUUGCGCUGAUGCUAUUUUGAAGUGCUUUAGGGAGAAGGAGGAGGAGGCGGAGGUUUUCAGCGAUUCAAAAGGGGAGUUUGUUGAUGCUGAAGUGUGGAAUUCUCUUACCGUUGCAAAUGAGCAUUUCCAUAUUAGAAAGAAAAAAGAUCUUUGGUAGUUUUCUCUUUUUUGUUGGCCUAGGCAAUGUAGCUAAAGAAUGCCAAACUAGCUUUAUCAGCAUGAAAAAGGCCUAGAAUUGCUUGUAGUUUGGUGAAAGUGAAGCCAGUUUUUGAGUAAGACCAGACAAUCUGCUCCAUAUAUCAUAUUAUGCUUUUACCCAUUAUUGAUAUUAAACCCAGUUCUACUUGUGCAUGUAUCUUUUGAAUUAAGGUUGGUAUAUUAGGGACAUGAAUUAACCAGA